This 76-nucleotide microRNA precursor is filed under the name Branchiostoma floridae (Florida lancelet). Its description in RNAcentral is "mir-4872 microRNA precursor family". It matches the Rfam family "mir-4872 microRNA precursor family". The record is from Rfam by way of RNAcentral. Lineage: Eukaryota; Metazoa; Chordata; Leptocardii; Amphioxiformes; Branchiostomatidae.
CCAGAUGUGGUGCCGGGGUAACUGAAACUCUGAGUUUUCCCUUUUUCAGAGUUUUGUUACCCCGGCUCUCUGUGGG